RNAcentral lists this non-coding RNA (216 nucleotides) under Gossypium arboreum. Its description in RNAcentral is "Bacterial small subunit ribosomal RNA". It matches the Rfam family "Bacterial small subunit ribosomal RNA", at positions 1319 to 1533 of the family's 1533-position model. The record is from Rfam by way of RNAcentral. Lineage: Eukaryota; Viridiplantae; Streptophyta; Magnoliopsida; Malvales; Malvaceae.
CAUGAAGCCGGAAUCGCUAGUAAUCGCCGGUCAGCCAUACGGCGGUGAAUUCGUUCCCAGGCCUUGUACACACCACUCAUCACACUAUGAGAGCUGGCCAUGCCCGAAGUCGUUACCUUAACAGCAAGGAGAGGGAUGCCGAAGGCAGGGCUAGUGACUGGAGUGAAGUUGUAACAAGGUAGCCAUACUGGAAGGUGCGGCUGGAUCACCUCCUUU